UUCCUGGUGGCUCAGAUGGUAAAGCAUCUGCCUACAAUGUAGGAGACCCGGGUUCGAUCCCUGGGUUGGGAA
RNAcentral lists this transfer RNA (72 nucleotides) under Bos taurus (domestic cattle). It matches the Rfam family "tRNA". Rfam says of the family: Transfer RNA (tRNA) molecules are approximately 80 nucleotides in length. Their secondary structure includes four short double-helical elements and three loops (D, anti-codon, and T loops). Further hydrogen bonds mediate the characteristic L-shaped molecular structure. tRNAs have two regions of fundamental functional importance: the anti-codon, which is responsible for specific mRNA codon recognition, and the 3' end, to which the tRNAs corresponding amino acid is attached (by aminoacyl-tRNA synthetases). tRNAs cope with the degeneracy of the genetic code in two manners: having more than one tRNA (with a specific anti-codon) for a particular amino acid; and 'wobble' base-pairing, i.e. permitting non-standard base-pairing at the 3rd anti-codon position. RNAcentral also lists the same sequence under 3 other names. The record is from Rfam by way of RNAcentral. Lineage: Eukaryota; Metazoa; Chordata; Mammalia; Artiodactyla; Bovidae.